Long non-coding RNA from Salarias fasciatus (jewelled blenny), 151 nucleotides. RefSeq lists it as uncharacterized. The record is from RefSeq and is a predicted model, not a curated record. The transcript is spliced from 3 exons. Lineage: Eukaryota; Metazoa; Chordata; Actinopteri; Blenniiformes; Blenniidae.
GUGCUGCGACCUGCAGCAGUGCAGACCAGAAAGAGAGCAGCUUGUGGGAGCGAGUGGGUCACCAGACUCGAACCCAGUCCGACACGGCCACAGAGCUGAGUCCGAAGGGCUUGCGGGUGUAGCGGAAAACCCCCAUGUGGAUCACAAAAGU